GGAGUUAGCCGGUGCUUCUUCUGUGAGUGAUGUCCUUCCUGCCGGUUAUUGACCCGCAGGCCUUCUUCCUCACUGAAAGUGCUUUACAACCCGAAGGCCUUCUUCACACACGCGGCAUGGCUGGAUCAGGGUUGCCCCCAUUGUCCAAUAUUCCCCACUGCUGCCUCCCGUAGGAGUCUGGGCCGUGUCUCAGUCCCAGUGUGGCUGAUCAUCCUCUCAGACCAGCUACGGAUCGUCGCCUUGGUGAGCCGUUACCUCACCAACCAGCUAAUCCGACAUAGGCUCAUCCGAUAGCGCGAGGCCCGAAGGUCCCCCGCUUUCCCCCGUAGGGCGUAUGCGGUAUUAGCCUGGGUUUCCCCAGGUUAUCCCCCACUACCGGGCAGAUUCCUAUGCAUUACUCACCCGUCCGCCGCUCGACACCAGGGAGCAAGCUCCCCGUGCUGCCGCUCGACUUGCAUGUGUUAGGCCUGCCGCCAGCGUUCAAUCUGAGCCAGAAUCAAACUCUGA
RNAcentral lists this ribosomal RNA (507 nucleotides) under uncultured bacterium. RNAcentral's name for it is "partial 16S ribosomal RNA". The record is from RNAcentral.